Molecule: long non-coding RNA, 682 nt
Organism: Portunus trituberculatus (swimming crab)
Lineage: Eukaryota; Metazoa; Arthropoda; Malacostraca; Decapoda; Portunidae
Exons: 3
Source: RefSeq, a predicted model, not a curated record
UGCGCCUGCUUGUGCUUCAUUUGCGUGGUUGGAAGGUGAAGGGCACGAAUGAGGCGAAGCUGAACAUAUUUCUACACAUGAAGACGAAUCCAUGAAUCAAUACAGUGAUGAAGGCGCAGCGGCAGCCAGGCCUGUGGCAGUCAAGACAAGGUUCUGACAGGUAGAGCCCUAGCCACAUCACCUCCUCUUCAUGUGCCAGGACUUUACACAGCACCAUGCAGCACUUCAGAUGCACUCAUUCUCAAGAGCUGGUGUGAGUGGAUUUGUCAGCAUCUUCCCUCAUUAUAGCCACCUGCCUCAGCAGCCUCCCUUGCUGGCUCCUGAAGCACCUUUGGGAGCCUUUAUGGUGAGGACACCAUCGGAAGACAGGGCAGAUGUCACAGCAUCAACGUCAACCACACCGGGAAGAUGGAAGCUUCGGCGGAAGCUUUGCACCGUUACACUACCUCCUUCUUCCUGCUCUAUCCUCCCUUCCACCUGCACGUCACUCCUCCCAACAACCUUGACUUUGAUGUCACCUCCAAGGAAGUCGUGCACAUCGAGCACCACCUGCAGACAAGACAAUGGUGAGUGACUUGCUGUAGAGAGAAGUAAUUCAAGAACAACUAGUGUUGUAUCAGUCAAGAAUUAUCACUAUCACAUUUUACUGUUUAUAAACUGCAAUAUAAGCUUACCUGAUGAA